This 761-nucleotide ribosomal RNA is filed under the name Schistometopum gregorii. RNAcentral's name for it is "partial 16S ribosomal RNA". It matches the Rfam family "Bacterial large subunit ribosomal RNA", at positions 1250 to 2554 of the family's 2925-position model. The record is from RNAcentral. Lineage: Eukaryota; Metazoa; Chordata; Amphibia; Gymnophiona; Dermophiidae.
UCAAAACCUUAAAAACUAAACAAGCUUCACUAUAAACCUUAUAGUAAAAUUAAUGUUAGAAUUAGUAAUAAGAAAAUACGAUUUUCUCUAUUCCACAUGUGUAUAUCAGCAUGAACAAUUCACUGGUAAUUAUCAAUCCUAAUCAAAAACUUUUUCACCUGAAACACAAUUUACAAUUAUUGUUAAUCCUACACAGGAGUGGAAACGAAAGAUUUAAAAAUAAAAAAGGAAUUCAGCAAACACAAGCUUCGCCUGUUUACCAAAAACAUCACCUCUAGCUAAGUACACAAAUAUUAGAGGCAAUGCCUGCCCAGUGAAAAUUUUUAACGGCCGCGGUAUUCCGACCGUGCAAAGGUAGCAUAAUCACUUGUCUUUUAAAUCAAGACUAGUAUGAAUGGCAAAACGAAAGCUUAACUGUCUCCUUUAUUUAAUCAAUGAAAUUGAACUUCUUGUACAAAAGCAAGAAUACACAAAUAAGACGAAAAGACCCUAUGGAACUUAAACCACACUACCAAUUUAAUUUAUAAAAUCUUAAACACUGGAUCUGUUGGUUUUGGUUGGGGUGACCACGGAGCAAAACAAUCCUCCGAGAUAAUAUAACUAAGAUACACAUAACAAAGUAUUAAAAACUUAAAACCUUGACCCAAUACAUUUGAUAAACGAACCAAGCUACCCUAGGGAUAACAGCGCAAUCUUCUUUAAGAGUCCAUAUCACCAAGAAGGUUUACGACCUCGAUGUUGGAUCAGGAUAUCCAAACAGU